UGGGGAAUAUUGCGCAAUGGGCGAAAGCCUGACGCAGCAACGCCGCGUGCGGGAUGACGGCCUUCGGGUUGUAAACCGCUUUCAGCAGGGACGAAACUGACGGUACCUGCAGAAGAAGCCCCGGCCAACUACGUGCCAGCAGCCGCGGUAAUACGUAGGGGGCGAGCGUUGUCCGGAUUCAUUGGGCGUAAAGAGCUCGUAGGCGGUUUAGCAAGUCGGGUGUGAAAUCUCCAGGCUCAACCUGGAGCGGCCAUUCGAUACUGCUAUGACUAGAGUCCAGUAGGGGAGUGUGGAAUUCCCGGUGUAGCGGUGAAAUGCGCAGAUAUCGGGAGGAACACCGGCGGCGAAGGCGGCACUCUGGGCUGGUACUGACGCUGAGGAGCGAAAGCGUGGGGAGCAAACAGGAUUAGAUACCCCCGUAGUCC
Molecule: ribosomal RNA, 425 nt
Filed under: uncultured bacterium
Lineage: Bacteria
Description: bacterial SSU rRNA
Rfam family: Bacterial small subunit ribosomal RNA
Source: RNAcentral